This 1092-nucleotide long non-coding RNA is filed under the name Equus caballus (horse). Its description in RNAcentral is "lncRNA (ENSECAG00000059489.1)". The record is from RNAcentral. Lineage: Eukaryota; Metazoa; Chordata; Mammalia; Perissodactyla; Equidae.
GCCCUGGGGAAGCUCUUACUCAUUCAGAAGCAGCAGUUCAGCCGCGAGCCUGUAGUCUGGGGCCCUCCAAGGCGGGAUCUGGUAUAUGUACGUUUCCUUUUCCUUUUUUUAAAGAUUGGCACCUGAGCUAACAACUGUUGCCAAUCUUCCUUUUUUUUUUUUUCCUGCUUUUUCUCCCCAAAUCUCCCCGGUACAUAGUUGUAUAUUUUAGUUGUGGCAUGUGGGACACCGCCUCAGCAUGGCCUGAUGAGCGGUGCCAUGUCCGCACCCAGGAUCUGAACCGGUGAAACCCUGGGCCGCGGAAGCGGAGCGCGGGAUCUUAACCACUCAGCCACGGGUUGGCACCUGAUACAAUCAAAGAUAACCAGAUGUGUGGGGAGACGAGACUCCAUAGAGGAGAACGAGCAGACAGCCACAACCGACGGAGCCGUGGAGACCCCAGGUACUGCAAAGAGCGGGAACAGCCUUCGCACAACUGUCCUGACUAUGUUCAAGGAGGUAAAAGGCAAGCUUGAAAUUUUUGGCAGAGAACUGGAAAUUAUAAAAAAUGACAAAGCAGGGGCCAAGGGUUUUGUUGGUUCGGAUCCUGGGCAUGGACGUGGCCCCGCUCGCUCAUCAGGCCACGCUGAGGCAGCGUCCCACAUGCCAUGACUAUAGGACCCAAAACUAAAAACAUGCAACUAUGUACUGGGGGGCUUUGGGGAAGAAAAAGCAGAAAAAAAAAAAAGAUUGGCAACAGUUGUUAGCUCAGGUGCCAAUCUUUAAGAAAAAAGGAAAAAAUGACAAAGCAGAUUUUAAAAAGAACAACAUAAAAUUCUAUAAUUGAAAAAAUACGAUAAUUAAAAUUAAGAAUCUGGUGGAUGAGUUUCAGUUUAGACACAGCUGAAAUGAUAACAGUGAACUAGAAGAUGUAUCAGGAGAAGCUGUCCAGAAGGAAACACAGAGACACCGAAGGACGGAAAACGGGGAAGAGAGGGUGAGAGAAAUGGGGGUUAAAACAGUGAGAAUGUGGAACAUGCAUUUUACUGGAGACCCACAGUGAGAGCAGACAGAGGCUGUGAUACAAGCAGCAACGAAAUAAAUAAUUGCUGA